Molecule: ribosomal RNA, 460 nt
Filed under: uncultured bacterium
Lineage: Bacteria
Description: partial 16S ribosomal RNA
Rfam family: Bacterial small subunit ribosomal RNA
Source: RNAcentral
CCUACGGGUGGCAGCAGUGAGGAAUAUUGGUCAAUGGGCGUAAGCCUGAACCAGCCAAGUCGCGUGAGGGAUGAAGGUUCUAUGGAUCGUAAACCUCUUUUAUCAGGGAAUAAAGUGCGGGACGUGUCCAGUUUUGUAUGUACCUUAUGUAUAAGGAAAGGACAACCACGUGCCAGCAGCCUCGGUAAUACGGAGGAUCAGAGGGUUAUCCGGAUUUACUGGGUUUAACGGGUGCGUGGGGGGCAUUUUAAGUCAGUGGUGAAAGUCUGUGGCUCAACCCUAGAAUUGCCGUUGAAACUGGGAUUCUUGAGUGUGUGAGAGGCAGGCGGAAUGCGUGGUGUAGCAGUGAAAUGCUUAGAUAUCACGCAGAACACCGAUUGCGAAGGCGGCAUGCCGGGCCAUGACUGACGCUGAUGUACGAAAGCGUGGGGAUCAAACAGGAUUAGAUACCCGAGUAGUC